AUUGAACGCUAGCGGGAUGCCUUACACAUGCAAGUCGAACGGCAGCACGGACUUCGGUCUGGUGGCGAGUGGCGAACGGGUGAGUAAUGUAUCGGAACGUGCCUAGUAGCGGGGGAUAACUACGCGAAAGCGUAGCUAAUACCGCAUACGCCCUACGGGGGAAAGCAGGGGAUCGCAAGACCUUGCACUAUUAGAGCGGCCGAUAUCGGAUUAGCUAGUUGGUGGGGUAACGGCUCACCAAGGCGACGAUCCGUAGCUGGUUUGAGAGGACGACCAGCCACACUGGGACUGAGACACGGCCCAGACUCCUACGGGAGGCAGCAGUGGGGAAUUUUGGACAAUGGGGGAAACCCUGAUCCAGCCAUCCCGCGUGUGCGAUGAAGGCCUUCGGGUUGUAAAGCACUUUUGGCAGGAAAGAAACGCUCCGGGUUAAUACCCCGGGAAACUGACGGUACCUGCAGAAUAAGCACCGGCUAACUACGUGCCAGCCGCCGCCGUAA
RNAcentral lists this ribosomal RNA (500 nucleotides) under uncultured bacterium. Its description in RNAcentral is "partial 16S ribosomal RNA". It matches the Rfam family "Bacterial small subunit ribosomal RNA", at positions 30 to 523 of the family's 1533-position model. The record is from RNAcentral.